AGGUGCCUUCUCAGAUUAUGCCACCCUCCCUUCUUGGUUUACAAUGAGGAUUACCUAUGAAUAUCGUGAGAGGUGAAAACAGUCUAUUUCACAUUUGGGUUUCAUAGAUUCAUUUGCUCUGAGUCUGAGGACAGAAGCUGAAUGCCAUAUGACGUAACCAUUAAUAUCUGUAGAAUAAGCAAAUGCAAACAAUGACCUUGAUUCCAAGAAUAAGUAUGGAAGUUUCGCAAUGCAGAGAUACUGGGAGGACAUCUGGGUCUGAGUCUUACAAACUACUGCAGCAGCAUAUGACAAAAUAAACCUACAUCAUAAAAACAGGUUACUGAUAAGUAUUUUACAUUCCAAAAAAAUGAAAAUAAUGUUUGUCUUUCAAACAAAAGAAUAAAAAGAAAUCAUUCAACCCAUGGUGUUAUAGCUUACAAGAGAUAAUGUCGCUAAAUAUCACUUAGAAGAAUAUUGUGUAAUAAAAUAAAUCACCCACCCCUCCCCGCCCCUCCACCAUACACAAAGGAAAGAUAAUAUUCUGGACGACAAAGACCAAAAAUCAAAUAAAAUAUCUAUAAAGUUCAAAAAAGUCAGUUGAAGUAGAUUCUUCGAAUUUCAAC
Molecule: long non-coding RNA, 605 nt
Filed under: Macaca mulatta (Rhesus monkey)
Lineage: Eukaryota; Metazoa; Chordata; Mammalia; Primates; Cercopithecidae
Description: lncRNA (ENSMMUG00000064797.1)
Source: RNAcentral